GCCCUCGUAGCCCAACCUGGCAGAGGCCGCCGUCUCAGACGCGGCGAAGUGUGGGUUCGAAUCCCACCGAGGGUA
This 75-nucleotide transfer RNA is filed under the name Chloroflexota bacterium. RNAcentral's name for it is "tRNA-Leu". It matches the Rfam family "tRNA". Rfam says of the family: Transfer RNA (tRNA) molecules are approximately 80 nucleotides in length. Their secondary structure includes four short double-helical elements and three loops (D, anti-codon, and T loops). The record is from RNAcentral. Lineage: Bacteria; Bacillati; Chloroflexota.